CACCGCGUGAAGAGAACGGUGCACUGACACAGAAACCUGCCGUGGUGAGACAGCAAAGCGUGUCACAACCAGCCGUAGCGUGCGAGACAGUAUGACACAGUAAUUUACUAUGAACUAACCACCACACCUGAAAAAGACACAGUUCAUUGUGCAGGUGAAAUACGGUAAUGACGAACCUCGCUCAGAGCCAUAAAUCUGAUCCAAGCAACGAGCGGCACAGCGGGGCCAUCCAUCACGCCUGAGCCCCGCCACCCCGCACCGCCACCGAGACGCACCCCGCCCCGGCACUGUGGCACCCCAACACCCUGGCACGUUUACACCCUGGCACCACUGACACCCCUGCACCCCGCCACUCCAUGAAAGUACUCUGAUAAUAUUCUACCUAUACUGUCACUACUACUACUACUACUACUACUACUACUACUACUACCACUACUGAUUACAAAGGAGACACCAGGAUGGGAGAAGAGACAUCGAGAGAAAGGGACAGCAGCGAAGGGAGGGAAGAUGAAGAGGCACUGGAAGAGAAAAAAAAACUAAUAGUAACCUCACUAACGGCGCGGCGAUGGACGAGCAGCAAGGGGAGGCAGUGUCAAGCUGUUAGCACCUUCAGUACCAUGAGUUUCCAUAGUCAUUCUGCUUACUAUUUGAUCAAACCAACACUUGAUACAUCUGCAGCGAGGACUGACCCGAGGCUACACAGGGGAAGGAGCAGCGUGGGCAGAUUUGGUGAAUAUACUUGACAAAUGAAAACAGGAAGCACAACAGCGGCGGCCAGAGUAAACAGUGAGGAAGUCCAGCUCUCUCUACAUGCAAAUUCAGCUGCGGUGUGGCCCCUUCCUCCACCUUCUCCUCUCCCUUCCUCCUCCUUCCCUACCCCCCCAUCAAACCCUCAUUAACGGCACGGGUGAUGGGGCGGGGGUGUGAUGGAGGAGGAG
Molecule: long non-coding RNA, 938 nt
Organism: Portunus trituberculatus (swimming crab)
Lineage: Eukaryota; Metazoa; Arthropoda; Malacostraca; Decapoda; Portunidae
Exons: 5
Source: RefSeq, a predicted model, not a curated record